Molecule: ribosomal RNA, 230 nt
Filed under: uncultured bacterium
Lineage: Bacteria
Description: partial 16S ribosomal RNA
Rfam family: Bacterial small subunit ribosomal RNA
Source: RNAcentral
UUCUGCCUACGGGGCGCAGCAGUAGGGAAUCUUCCACAAUGGACGAAAGUCUGAUGGAGCAACGCCGCGUGAGUGAAGAAGGGUUUCGGCUCGUAAAGCUCUGUUGGUAGUGAAGAAAGAUAGAGGUAGUAACUGGCCUUUAUUUGACGGUAAUUACUUAGAAAGUCACGGCUAACUACGUGCCAGCAGCCGCGGUAAUACGUAGGUGGCAAGCGCUGUCCGGCUUUAUU